GACGAACGCUGGCGGCGUGCUUAACACAUGCAAGUCGAACGGAGUUACGUAUGAAGUAUUUCGGUACGGACUACAUAACUUAGUGGCGAACGGGUGAGUAACACGUGGGCAACCUGCCCUUAACCGGGGGAUAACAUUGUGAAAACAGUGCUAAUACCGCAUAACAGAGUAUCGGGCAUCCGAUAUUUUUAAAAGGAGCAAUCCGGUUUAGGAUGGGCCCGCGUCCAAUUAGCUAGUUGGUGAGGUAACGGCUCACCAAGGCUACGAUUGGUAGCCGAACUGAGAGGUUGAUCGGCCACAUUGGGACUGAGACACGGCCCAGACUCCUACGGGAGGCAGCAGUGGGGAAUAUUGGGCAAUGGGCGAAAGCCUGACCCAGCGACGCCGCGUGAAGGAUGAAGGUCUUCGGAUUGUAAACUUCUUUGAUCAGGGAAGAAGAAAUGACGGUACCUGAAGAACAAGCCACGGCUAACUACGUG
Molecule: ribosomal RNA, 479 nt
Filed under: uncultured bacterium
Lineage: Bacteria
Description: bacterial SSU rRNA
Rfam family: Bacterial small subunit ribosomal RNA
Source: RNAcentral